Molecule: long non-coding RNA, 1489 nt
Filed under: Eutrema salsugineum
Lineage: Eukaryota; Viridiplantae; Streptophyta; Magnoliopsida; Brassicales; Brassicaceae
Description: long non-coding RNA (ESAL_LNC001465)
Source: RNAcentral
ACUUCACAACCGAAAAAGCUUUAGGGUCUCUCUCUCUGUCUCUUUCUUCAGGUUUCAUCUACGAAGAAGAAUUCGUCUGCACCCAUUCGACAAGCGUAGCAACACCAAACCCAGUCCCAGACUUCUUCUUCUCGUUCCAAACCGGUCCAGCCAUGUCUAUAUGCAUCCAUUGCACCUUCUCGCUCACAAACUGAGAAACCGCAAAAAAUACCAAAUGGUUGUGUUAUUUUCACCGUUUUUGUUUUAUAUCAGAAACAUCUAGUGUAUGGUCUUUAAAGAGACUUUGUUUUCACCUGUUUCAAGAAGAGAGCUGCGGUGAUGGAGCCUCCUGCACGCCCGCCUGUGUUGACCAUAUCAGCCACUCCAGACUUCAUCAUCUCCCAAUAACUCUCUUCUAAUGGCAUCCUCCAUAGCUUCUCUCCACUCUUCUCUGACGCAGCAAUCACUUCCUUUGCAAGCUCGUCGUUAGGUGUGUAGAUCCCUGCCAAGCGACAAUCAUCAUGAGCCAACGUUAUUUAAAGAAUCCCAAAUCACAUAGCGAGACAAAGAUGUAUAGUUUCUUCAGGGUUGUUUAGCUAUGUACCAGCCAUCGAUGUUCCAAGAGCAAUAACGCAGGCCCCGGUCAACGUAGCGAGGUCAACAAUCUGCAAGUUAUCUCACAAUUAUAAACAGAAACAAUCUCCUUAAAGCUUCUCUUAUCAAUAAAGCCAACAAAAACCAAUGUCAUACCUUGUCGACGCCCUGGUUACAAGCAUACACUAGAGCAUCAGCAAGUGUUAGACGACCUUCAGCAUCUGUGUUGUUGACCUGCACACACACAUUGUCAACAAUUAGCAUGACACAAGAAAAACAGCAAAGCUCGAACCUUUAGAAAAGAAAAGAAAAAGCUCGGAUACCUCAAUGGUCUUUCCGUUUGAGGCUGUGAUGACAUCUCCAGGUCUCAUUCCGGUUCCACUAAUCAUAUUCUCACAGGCUGCAACGAUGAAAUGAACCUGAAUGGGAAAGAUCAAUUGGUUAGUUACCUUAAGAAACUCUAGCUUCACAAAAGUAUCUGAUGGGAGAAAGCUUACCUCAACACCAGGAGGCUUAAUCUCACCAAUAGCUUUCGCAGCGCCAAGAACAGCAGCUGAACCGCCCAUAUCGAAUUUCAUGAGCUCGAUCGAGCAGCCAGGUCCAGUCUUGAUGUUGUAGCCACCACUGCAAACACAAAUCAUACGAUCAACAACCACUAAAUCAACAAUAAAAGAGACAAAUUCGUAAGAGCGUAAAAAUUCAAAGCAAGUACAGAAGUGAGAUGCUCUAAGGGAUUACCUGUCAAAGGUCAAUCCUUUUCCAACAAGAGCAAGUUUGGUCUUAACAGAGCCACUCGGGGGUUUAUAGACAAGGUGGAUGAAGUAAGGAGGAUUAGCCGAUGCAGCAGCAACAGCUAGAUAAGAGCCCAUCUUCAACUCUUUGCAUUGCUCCUCGUUCAAGAUGUUUGCAGUGAAGA